RNAcentral lists this ribosomal RNA (245 nucleotides) under uncultured bacterium. RNAcentral describes it as "partial 16S ribosomal RNA". It matches the Rfam family "Bacterial small subunit ribosomal RNA", at positions 524 to 768 of the family's 1533-position model. The record is from RNAcentral.
UACGGAUGGAGCAAGCGUUGUUCGGAAUCACUGGGCAUAAAGCGCGUGUAGGCGGCCUUGAAAGUAGGGUGUGAAAUCCCCUGGCCCACCCAGGGAACUGCAUUCUAAACUUCAAGGCUUGAGUGAAGAAAGGGAGAGUGGAACUCCUGGUGGAGCGGUAAAAUGCGUAGAUAUCAGGAGGAACGCCGGUGGAGAAGUCGACUCUCUGGUCUUUUACCGACGCUGAGAUGCGAAAGCUAGGGGAG